Long non-coding RNA from Panicum virgatum (switchgrass), 1617 nucleotides. RefSeq lists it as uncharacterized. NCBI's taxonomy places the organism in Eukaryota, Viridiplantae, Streptophyta, Magnoliopsida, Poales, Poaceae. The transcript is spliced from 3 exons. The record is from RefSeq and is a predicted model, not a curated record.
GCUGCCAUCACACGUCAUCCUUCCAACGAACGUGUCGCCUCCGUGUUCUGCCGAGCAGAGGUUGCGUCCAUCCUAAGCGGAAGCCUGCGCGGCGUUCUUCACUGCCAGAAAAUCGAUCACGCCAGGUUAUCUAGCCGGACGUCCUCACCUCGCGGUCGACGACGCUGUCGUAGCUGCAGUCCCCCUUCCGCUCCGACAGGUUGUAAGUUGCAACUGCAAUGCUCUACAUGUUCUGGUCGGUGAUUUAAGCCAUCUCCAGCAAGCGAGCCAUCAGCAGCAACCCCGGCAUUGCUGAUUCACGUUGCUAUCGUCUCCUCUGCCAGAGGCGAUUCGCUCGCAACCUCCUGCGGCAGCUACUCUCCACACGCCUCGCCGUCGCCGGAGAUGGUCCGUCUCAAUUCUGCUAAUCAGGUGUCGAGCAACCAGCACGCAACCAAUCCCAGUGAGGCAUCACGGGUGGUGAAUUGACCUGCAAAACAACAGAAAUGUAGUCAAGUGAAAGAGCAUGUUACAACAUAUUACAGAUGGAACAGGGACCACCAACAUCGACAUAAGAGAAAGUUACAUGUAUCAAUUUUUUCCAUAGUUGAGUAGAUCGUGCUUUGACUUGAGCUUAUUUUGAUUUCCAUUGAGUCUUUUCUUUGUUAACAUACUUUGACAUAUAUUGCAGCUCUUUGUGCUAUUCAAUGUUCUGAAAAAGCGUUACAGGUCUAAUUCUAUCUCAAUCUGUGGUACCCAAUGUUCUGAAGUGUUCUAAAGUUGGCAUAUAUGAUUUUAGUAUACUAGAACUUCAUAACAUAAAAAGGUACAUCAGUUUAGUUUAAGCAUAUAUACUCAAAGUGUUUUUCCUUCAGAAUUCACAUUUCAAACCAUGCAUGAUAAGUCUGUUCACCCCCAGUAGUACCAGAUUAUUUGUUUAAAACAUUGGAUUCAGAAUGUUGCUCAAGGCACCCAACAAGGCAUCAACCAUAUGUAGCGAUGUGCUUUUUUCUUACUAUUGAUUACUAAAUUAAGGGGUUAUUGAUUUCAUCUACCGAUAUUCCUUUAUAGACUUUACCCCAUGAAUUGUAAUUCCAAAGAGUGACAACCAUGAAUAUACUUUUUUUCUAUUUUAAAAUUUUAGGUGCAAUCAUGAAAUUGCUAUGUAGUGAUAGUUUCGCCUUUGAUUCUAAAGGUUUGGUCCUUUGGGUGAUAGGUUUCUUUUGUUUUCUCAUUGCUGGCUUUUCUUGCAUGUUUUUUUGGUCCUAUGAAUUACGGUAGUAAUAUUAGUUCUUGAUAUUUGAACGGUUACAUAUCUCUCACAAUUCCAUAGUUUUUCCUCUCAUGUUGUCUCCUUGCUGAAAGUAUUGAUGUCAAGAUAAAAUAAUGUGUCGGCUCUUCAACAAAUUGAGUACUAAUUCAUUUUCAGUUAUCAGUUUAAAAGUGGGCAGCCGACAACCGGUGGCCACUAUCUUGCACAAGCUGCUCAGAGCCUCAGAUGACCCACUACAUAUAUGCAGUUAUUUGUGCUUUAUCAUUAACAUUUGUCAUUGUCCUAUCUUUAUUUUAUAUCUUUGUAAUGAAUGAUUGCAUGCCGUGGCCAGUUCUUGACUUCUAUGCUUUGGCGUUACUUGAUAC